UCGGACUAGAGACCGGCGCACGGGUGCGUAACGCGUAUGCAAUCUACCUUUUACAGAGGGAUAGCCCAGAGAAAUUUGGAUUAAUACCUCAUAGUAUAUAGACCUGGCAUCAUGAUUAUAUUAAAGUCACAACGGUGAAAGAUGAGCAUGCGUCCCAUUAGCUAGUUGGUAAGGUAACGGCUUACCAAGGCUACGAUGGGUAGGGGUCCUGAGAGGGAGAUCCCCCACACUGGUACUGAGACACGGACCAGACUCCUACGGGAGGCAGCAGUGAGGAAUAUUGGACAAUGGGCGCAAGCCUGAUCCAGCCAUGCCGCGUGCAGGAUGACGGUCCUAUGGAUUGUAAACUGCUUUUGUACAAGAAGAAACACUUCUUCGUGAAGGAUCUUGACGGUAUUGUAAGAAUAAGGAUCGGCUAACUCCGUGCCAGCAGCCGCGGUAAUACGGAGGAUCCAAGCGUUAUCCGGAAUCAUUGGGUUUAAAGGGUCCGUAGGCGGUUUAAUAAGUCAGUGGUGAAAGCCCAUCGCUCAACGGUGGAACGGCCAUUGAUACUGCUAGACUUGAAUUAUUAGGAAGUAACUAGAAUAUGUAGUGUAGCGGUGAAAUGCUUAGAGAUUACAUGGAAUACCAAUUGCGAAGGCAGGUUACUACUAAUGGAUUGACGCUGAUGGACGAAAGCGUGGGUAGCGAACAGGAUUAGAUACCCUGGUAGUCCACGCCGUANACGAUGGAUACUGGCUGUUGGAAGCAAUUUCAGUGGCUAAGCGAAAGUGAUAAGUAUCCCACCUGGGGAGUACGUUCGCAAGAAUGAAACUCAAAGGAAUUGACGGGGGCCUGCACAAGCGGUGGAGCAUGU
RNAcentral lists this ribosomal RNA (856 nucleotides) under uncultured bacterium. Its description in RNAcentral is "bacterial SSU rRNA". It matches the Rfam family "Bacterial small subunit ribosomal RNA", at positions 83 to 942 of the family's 1533-position model. The record is from RNAcentral.